RNAcentral lists this long non-coding RNA (2021 nucleotides) under Mustela putorius furo (domestic ferret). RNAcentral describes it as "lncRNA (ENSMPUG00000028687.1)". The record is from RNAcentral. Lineage: Eukaryota; Metazoa; Chordata; Mammalia; Carnivora; Mustelidae.
AUGAUGUACGUUCCAGGCAACCUUUCUGGGUGGUCCACUGUGAGAGAGGAGUUCCCAGGUCUUCUCUGCGAGGUGGGUCACGGCAAGGCUCUGGCAGUCACUGGUGAACAAAAUCAGCAUGGGCCCCGCCUUUGGGAAGCUUGGAGCCUUGUGGAGGAGACAGACAGUCAACAAAUAUUCCGCCAAAUAUCUGUAAUCACGCGUUACAUCCCGUGUUACGAAGAGACAGUGUCCUGGAUGAGGACAAAAACCCCACUUGUCAGAGGCCAGCCCACCAGGCUCAUCACCUGCAUGCCAAGGGUCCAGACGACUGAAGAGCUAAUGAAGCUUGUGCUUAGAACAGUGCCCUGCACAGUAACCACUCCGCAAAGAUGCAGCAGAACGGACUGAGGUGGGAAUGUGGCUGAACAGCCAUUCCUUCUGCCGAGGGAUCUGUCCGCAGGCAGGGAUCCUCCCAUGGAUGAACAGGAGAUAUGAGUAUCAAUAAUAGCUCAUUUUAUUAAGCAUUUUCUUUGGGCCAAUUUAUUACCAUAUCCCCCUUAUAAAAAGCCUAGAGGUAGGCACCAUUACCCAUCCAGUUUUACACAUCAGGAAAUUGCAUGUUGGAGAGGUUAAGUUCAAGGUCCCAGGACCAAGAGUGGUGGAGACUGAAUUCUAACCCAGUGUCUGGACUCUAGAACCUUCUUUUGUAAUCACCAGCCUCCCUGCAUGUUCACUCCUGUCCUUCUCUAGAAUCGUCAUCACCGUAGCCACCACUGAUUGAACACCUAUAAUCAGUACAGAUGUUAUGCCAUGUGACUUUCCCAGCAAUCCUAUGAAGGAGAUGUUUGCACAUCCAUUUUACAAAUGAGAAAGCUGAGUUAGAAUAAGUAUGUCAUGCAGAGUUAAUUGGCUAUGAAAGGAGCAGAUGGGAUUCAGAUAUUACAUAUAUUCUCCUUAUAGUUCCUUGAACACUAUACAAUGGGCCACCUGCUUUAUAAGCAUUAACUCUUUUAAGAGCUCUGUGAGGCAGGUGACACUAGAAUUCCCAUCUUAACAGACAGGAAGACGGAGGCAGAGAGAAAUUAAGAAACUCCCACCCAGGACUCACAAGUAAGAUUAGCAGAGCUGGGGAGAGGGUGGUUGGGUUAUGGACACGGGGGAGGGUAUGUGCUACGGUGAGUGCUGUGAAAUGUAUAAGCCUGAUGAUUCACAGACCAGUACCCCUGGGGCAAAUAAUACAUUAUACGUUAAUAAAAAUAAUUUAAAAAACAAGAGUGGCAGAGCUGGAUUUUGAAGGCAGCACUCAGUCCAGCUCGAGCGCCUGAGCUCCCAGCUUCUAGAGCACUACAUUGAUAUAAGAAAUGAAUGAUGCCAGCAAGGUGAGGGGAAGUGGGGAGGGUUUCAGAGGCAGAGGGAAUUACCUCUGCGUGGGUUAAAGGCUAAGGGAGCCCAGGAACUACAAAAGCUCUGGAAAAAGGAACUCUCCACCCACAUGGAUUGAAGCAGUCCCCCAGAGCCCUGCCUGGCUCUCUCCUCCAAAAGGGGUCGGCCACCCUAGAGAAUUUUCCAACAUUGAGCAAUGGUGUAGGUGUUUUGUUUCCCUUAGGCCCACUGAGAUGCAUCAUGAGGAAAUUGCCUUAGUUAGACUCUUGAGCAAGCUGAUUCCACUAUUCAGCUACAAAAUCCUCAGAAGAGAUGGAAGUCAAGUGUUUUAAAUGGCCAGUUGUAUUGAAAUAUCCAGGAGGGGGGAAAAAAGGCCUUUUGUCAGGAAAGACAGAAACAAACAUGUAUUGAGCAGUGACCACAUGCUGGAACGUGGGAGUUGUUAAACCUCAUAAUAACCUUUGAAAUGGUGAUUCACCCCAUUUUACAGAGAAAUAAACCAAGGGACAGAGCAGCAGAAUCAUGUCCCCAACUCAAGUAGCAAGUAAAGGAUCCUAGAUAUGGCCCAAGGCCCAUAUAUAUGCCUUUAGGCUACAUGUUCUCAGCUGGAUCUCUGUUGCCUUUCAUUCUUCUAUGACUGAUCCAUAUGGUUUCAG